GACGAACGCUGGCGGCGUGCUUAACACAUGCAAGUCGAACGAAGUGGCGAACGGGUGAGUAACGCGUAAUCAACCUGCCCUUCAGAGGGGGACAACAGUGGGAAACGACUGCUAAUACCGAAUACUGAAGGAGGGGAUUGCGUCGGAUUAGCUAGUUGGAGGGGUAACGGCCCACCAAGGCGAGGAUCAGUAGGCGGUCUGAGGGGAUGAACGGCCACAAUUGGACGGGGCCACGGCCCAGACUCCUACGGGAGGCAGCAGUGGGGAAUCUUCCGCAAUGGACGAAAGUCUGACGGAGCAACGCCGCGUGAGUGAUGACGGCCUUCGGGUUGUAAAGCUCUGUUAAUCGGGACGCGGUACCGGAAUAGAAAGCCACGGCUAACUACGUGCCAGCCGCCGCGGUAAUUC
This 408-nucleotide ribosomal RNA is filed under the name uncultured bacterium. Its description in RNAcentral is "partial 16S ribosomal RNA". It matches the Rfam family "Bacterial small subunit ribosomal RNA", at positions 28 to 526 of the family's 1533-position model. The record is from RNAcentral.